GGAUCGCUAGCUCAACGAUGGAGAGCGGCCGGUAGCUAACCGGAGAGAUGGAGGUUCGAAUCCUUCGCGGUCCACCA
RNAcentral lists this transfer RNA (77 nucleotides) under Chromatiales bacterium. RNAcentral's name for it is "tRNA-Ser". It matches the Rfam family "tRNA". Rfam says of the family: Transfer RNA (tRNA) molecules are approximately 80 nucleotides in length. Their secondary structure includes four short double-helical elements and three loops (D, anti-codon, and T loops). Further hydrogen bonds mediate the characteristic L-shaped molecular structure. tRNAs have two regions of fundamental functional importance: the anti-codon, which is responsible for specific mRNA codon recognition, and the 3' end, to which the tRNAs corresponding amino acid is attached (by aminoacyl-tRNA synthetases). tRNAs cope with the degeneracy of the genetic code in two manners: having more than one tRNA (with a specific anti-codon) for a particular amino acid; and 'wobble' base-pairing, i.e. permitting non-standard base-pairing at the 3rd anti-codon position. The record is from RNAcentral. Lineage: Bacteria; Pseudomonadati; Pseudomonadota; Gammaproteobacteria; Chromatiales.